UCGUGAAGACGGUGACGAAUCGGGUCGAGGAGAGAUCGGAUUGGGGAUCGAGGUUAGGGUUUUCUGGGGUUAUGGAGAGGGAGUAGGAGGAGAUGAGGAAGGUUUUGCAGGGACGUGCGGAGGUGGUGGAGAUUGAGAGGGAGGAGAUGGUGAUCGCGAGGAGGAGGAGGAGGAGGAGGUGAGAGGACGACGCCAUUGUUGUGUGUUGUCUUUGACUUCUUCUUCUUCUUUGGGAUAAAAGACGAUAUGCCAGAAGAUUCGGUGAAGAUAUUAUUAAUAAGCCCCUCUAUUAUUG
This 295-nucleotide long non-coding RNA is filed under the name Brassica napus (rape). RNAcentral describes it as "long non-coding RNA (BNAP_LNC006300)". The record is from RNAcentral. Lineage: Eukaryota; Viridiplantae; Streptophyta; Magnoliopsida; Brassicales; Brassicaceae.